This 24-nucleotide microRNA is filed under the name Amborella trichopoda. Its description in RNAcentral is "atr-miR8572". The record is from miRBase by way of RNAcentral. Lineage: Eukaryota; Viridiplantae; Streptophyta; Magnoliopsida; Amborellales; Amborellaceae.
UGACCCGGUCGUUGGAAUCCUCUC